Molecule: long non-coding RNA, 257 nt
Filed under: Lathyrus oleraceus (garden pea)
Lineage: Eukaryota; Viridiplantae; Streptophyta; Magnoliopsida; Fabales; Fabaceae
Description: Pisum sativum (pea) long non-coding RNA (PSAT_LNC018050)
Source: RNAcentral
UGGUUUAUCAGACUUAGCCACAUCACCCUUAUAAUUCCUAAUGACUUUAAGAUUCAGAAGGAAUUAACAGCACUGUCCAGGGCAAUGUCAUGACAUCCGGUCAGACAUUCUUCUGCUCACUCAGCCUUGCCACACAUCACAGCAUCCUGAUAACUACCUAGUCAUCUGGGAACACAUAGACCACAAGCUUGGUGAUUGCUUGCAGCACAAAGGCACAACUCCCCCUGUCAUGGACAACCUACUCUCUUGGAGGUCAC